GGGAUAAGGAAAAAAAAAAUGGAGAAAGAAGCAGCCCUGAAAGUCCUUAGCAACCACAAGGUCAAUUGGGAUUCAUAAACUCCGCUCGUCAGAGUAGUUUCGCCUUUUUUUUUUUCUUNUUUUUUUUUUUCUUGGCCAUCAAUCUGAGGUUGGUCUCAUUACCGUUUUAAGAAAGCAACCGUGAUGCUUCUAUCAAGCAAUACAAACAAGCAAACUAUUCUUUGAGAGCAUGACAGAUGUAGCCAAAUCAAGUUCACAAUUUUGCAAUCUUACCAAAGCAACAAAUCAAUAAAAUUUUCCGGAAGCUAUACGAGCACAAUUUUGGGCAGAUUUAUCUUAGAUCCUUUCCCUGAUCACACACAUAGAGCCAUUUACCUUGUGCUAGAAAAUCGUGAAAAACACAUUCUUGGACUUCUUCCAUAAACACUUGAAGCCAUUCACCUGUACUCAACUCAUGGAUGAAAAGUAGAGAUUCUAUGCUAGAUCAGGACAUUGUGUUGAUGCAAACCAGACAAGGAUGAAUGCAUUGCAGGUUCAACGCUACUCGAAGA
RNAcentral lists this unclassified non-coding RNA (551 nucleotides) under Hevea brasiliensis (rubber tree). The record is from RNAcentral. Lineage: Eukaryota; Viridiplantae; Streptophyta; Magnoliopsida; Malpighiales; Euphorbiaceae.